This 466-nucleotide ribosomal RNA is filed under the name uncultured bacterium. Its description in RNAcentral is "partial 16S ribosomal RNA". It matches the Rfam family "Bacterial small subunit ribosomal RNA", at positions 28 to 507 of the family's 1533-position model. The record is from RNAcentral.
GAUGAACGCUGGCGGCGUGCUUAACACAUGCAAGUCGAGCGAAGAAGCCCAGCUUGCUGUGUGGUUUAGUGGCGAACGGGUGAGUGACUCGCGAGUAACCAGCCCUUGACUCUGGGAUAAGCCUGUGAAACUGGGUCUAAUACUUGCUAUGACUUCUCAUCGCCUGGUGGGUUGAGGAGAGAAUUAUUGGUUUUGGAUGGACUCGCGGCCUAUCAGCUUCUUUGUGAGGUAUUGGCAAACCAAGGCGUCGCCUGGUAGCCGGCCUGUGAGGGGGACCGGCCACACUAGGACUGAGACACGCAGCAGAAGGCAACGGGAGGCAGCAGUGGGGAAUAUUACGCAGCAGGGCCGAGCGUGUGGUAACGACGUCGGGUGAGUGAUACCGGGCUUCGAGUGAAGAACCUCUGUGAAUAGAAAAGAGGCGAGAGUGACGGUACCUGCAGAAAAAGCGCCGGCUAACUACGUG